AGAGUUUGAUCCUGGCUCAGAGUGAACGCUUGCGGCGUGGAUUAGGCAUGCAAGUCGAGCGAUCCUUGCUAAUGUUUUUUUGGAGUGCUUGCACAAAGGAUAAACAGAGGCGCUGGAUAGCGGCAAACGGGUGAGUAACGCGUAGAUAUCUUCCCUAAAGACGGGCAAAGCAUCGUGAAAACGGUGGUAAUUCCCGAUACGGUGGUGAAGUCAUAUGAUUUUACCAUUAAAGGUGGGGACCCCUCGGGGCCUGCCACUUUAGGAUGAGUCUGCGUCCUAUCAGCUUGUUGGUGGGGUAACGGCCUACCAAGGCAUUUGACGGGUAGCUGGUCUGAGAGGAUGAUCAGCCACACUGGGACUGAGACACUGCCCAGACUCCUACGGGGGGCUGCAGUCGAGAAUAUUUAUCAAUGGACGAAAGUCUGAAUAUGCGACGCCGCGUGCAGGAUGAAGGCCUUCGGGUUGUAAACUGCUUUUAUCAGGAAAGAAACCUGCAUGGAUAAUACCCAUGCAGCUGACGGUACCUGAGGAAUAAGCCACGGCCAACUCCGUGCCAGCAGCCGCGGUAAUACGGAGGUGGCGAGCGUUACUCGGAAUUAUUGGGUGUAAAGGGCAAGUAGGCGGCUUAAUAAGUGAGGGGUGAAAUCCUGCGGCUCAAUCGCAGAACUGCCUUUCAAACUGUUAAGCUUGAGGAUGGAAGAGGGAAACGGAAUUAGCAGUGUAAGGGUGAAAUCUGUAGAUAUUGCUAAGAACACCAGCGGCGAAGGCGGUUUCCUGGUCCAUAUCUGACGCUAAAUUGCGAAAGCUAGGGGAGCAAACAGAAUUAGAUACUCUGGUAGUCCUAGCCGUAAACGAUGAGUACUAGGUGUCGGCCCUUCGGGGGCGGUGCCGCAGCUAACGCAUUAAGUACUCCACCUGGGGACUACGGCCGCAAGGCUAAAACUCAAAGGAAUUGACGGGGACCCGCACAAGCGGUGGAACAUGUGGUUUAAUUCGAUGCUACGCGAAGAACCUCACCAAGGCUUGACAUGUAGUGAGUAGGGUAUCCGAAAGGUGACCGAACCGUUAAGUCGGUAAGCUACACAGGUGCUGCAUGGCUGUCGUCAGCUCGUGUCGUGAGAUGUUGGGUUAAGUCCCGCAACGAGCGCAACCAUUGCCCUAUGUUGCCACCUUAUCCUUCGGGAUAAGCGCACUCUUAGGGGACUGCCCGGGAUAACCGGGAGGAAGGUGGAGAUGACGUCAAGUCAGUACGGCCCUUAUGCCUUGGGCUACACACGUGUUACAAUGCCUAGUACAAAGGGUUGCCAACCCGCGAGGGGGAGCUAAUCUCAAAAAGCUAGGCUCAGUUCGGAUUGAAGUCUGCAAUUCGACUUCAUGAAGCCGGAAUCGCUAGUAAUGGAAGAUCAGAUACGCUUCCAUGAAUACGUUCCCGGGUCUUGUACACUC
RNAcentral lists this ribosomal RNA (1446 nucleotides) under metagenome. RNAcentral's name for it is "bacterial SSU rRNA". It matches the Rfam family "Bacterial small subunit ribosomal RNA". The record is from RNAcentral.